RNAcentral lists this long non-coding RNA (1244 nucleotides) under Sus scrofa (pig). RNAcentral's name for it is "lncRNA (ENSSSCG00045017796.1)". The record is from RNAcentral. Lineage: Eukaryota; Metazoa; Chordata; Mammalia; Artiodactyla; Suidae.
GGCGCAGGCGCUGCGCGGCGGCCUCCUCGGCUGCCACCCUGCCGCUGUCCAGCUCCAGGCGCUGAGGCGGCCCGGGUUGGUCCAGGGACCCGCCGUCCUUACGGGGUGCCGUGGCGGGUCUCCUCCUGGGUGCCUACAGUGACUCCGAGUGGGGCUGUGAGUGGGUCAGAUGGCAGGCCUGCCCCUGCUGUGUGCACCCAGCUCCGCGUGCCUGUGCUGAGGGACCCAGGCCAGAGGCCCUGCUCCCUGUCCAGUCUCACGCAUAAAGUAAGCUGCUGAGCUGCGGACAGAAGCUGAGAUUGCCUUGUUCCAUGAUGCUGUAAAGAUGCUGCUCUGUGCCGGGUGCUGGUCCCCAGCGUUGCCUCCGCUCAGCACCCAGCAGCCCCACAAGGGUGUCAACAGAGCAUCAGGAGGCACUGACCCCAGAGCCCCUCCACGUCCCCGGGAACGGCCGGCCCCCCGUCGCCGCCGAGGGCCCUCGACCAGGAUGGACAGCCAGGGGAAGGCUGCUUGUCUCCACGCCUCUCCGACGGCUCUUCUUCCGGCCCCUCCAGCCCAGGUGGAAUCCUUGAAGCUGGAGUCAGGACUGCCGGGCUUGCGGAGACGUGGGCUCCCCAGGAAGUGCUGAGCCCAUGAUCAGAGCUGCACCCCCACAAGAAGUCACCAUGUGGAUCCCCAGAGGGGAUACUCCGGAAGUGCUUCCAUUCGGCCACCAGCAGCUGUGAUGUCCCCUGACCGUGCAUCCUGGGUCCCAGGGGAUGGUGGGUAGGGGAGCCAGGCGAGGAAGUGAGUCACAGCCCUGUGGGGUGAGCUCCCCGAGGGGAAGGGAUUGCGUAGAGUACUUGGGGGAAUUUGUGAGCCUUCAAGCUGGCCUCUGCUGCGACAGGGGCCAGCAGCCUCGUCCGCUCUGUAGUCCACUCCGGCUGCUCCCUGUAGCCAGGGGUGCGGCAUGGCAGGAACAGGCCACAGGGCAAGGGAGGAGUGUGGUGGGCUCAGAAGGCUCUGGGGAGAGGGUGCCUUGCUCCUGGUGCUGAAAGGACAGCGCCCGGCUUGGGCAGAGGCCGCGCCAAGUCCUGGCGGAAGCUUUUCCGCAAACUGGAGUGGGGCGUCAUGUGCAUCUGAAUUUUUCCACUCCUCUUCUCUGGAGCCUGUCAGUGCCGUCUUGGCAAAGAUGGUUUGAGCCUGAAAGCUUUUCCCAUCUAUUUUUAAAUAAAUGGAAUUCCUGUCACUUGCAUGAAAUUCAC